AUGCUUAGAAUGAAAAGAGCACCAUUUGCCAGGCUUGUCGAGACCUUCAGGAGCAGGGGCCUGUUACAAGAUAGUAUCAACACCAGUGUCGAAGAGCAAGUGGCCAUGUUCCUCCAUGUUGUUGGCCAUAACCAGAGGUUCAGGGUCAUUCACAACACGUUCAGGAGAUCAAUGGAGACCAUCUCUAGGUACUUCAAGUGGGUGCUUUUUGCUGUUGGGGAGCUUAGAGGAGAGAUGAUCAGGAGACCAUCUGGCCAGACUCCACCCAAGAUUCGCGGAAGCCCAAGAUGGUAUCCAUACUUCAAGUUGAGCACUAACACAGGCUAG
Molecule: ribosomal RNA, 327 nt
Filed under: Triticum aestivum (bread wheat)
Lineage: Eukaryota; Viridiplantae; Streptophyta; Magnoliopsida; Poales; Poaceae
Description: partial small subunit ribosomal RNA
Source: RNAcentral